CCUACGGGUGGCAGCAGUGAGGAAUAUUGGUCAAUGGACGAGAGUCUGAACCAGCCAAGUAGCGUGAAGGAUGACUGCCCUAUGGGUUGUAAACUUCUUUUAUAUGGGAAUAAAAUGUUCCACGUGUGGGCUUUUGUAUGUACCCUAUGAAUAAGGAUCGGCUAACUCCGUGCCAGCAGCCGCGGUAAUACGGAGGAUCCGAGCGUUAUCCGGAUUUAUUGGGUUUAAAGGGUGCGUAGGUGGUUUGUUAAGUCAGUUGUGAAAGUUUGCGGCUCAACCGUAAAAUUGCAGUUGAAACUGGCAGUCUUGAGUGCAGUAGAGGUAGGCGGAAUUCGUGGUGUAGCGGUGAAAUGCUUAGAUAUCACGAAGAACUCCGAUUGCGAAGGCAGCUCACUGGACUGCAACUGACACUGAGGCUCGAAAGUGUGGGUAUCAAACAGGAUUAGAUACCCGAGUAGUC
Molecule: ribosomal RNA, 460 nt
Filed under: uncultured bacterium
Lineage: Bacteria
Description: partial 16S ribosomal RNA
Rfam family: Bacterial small subunit ribosomal RNA
Source: RNAcentral